RNAcentral lists this ribosomal RNA (387 nucleotides) under uncultured bacterium. RNAcentral describes it as "bacterial SSU rRNA". It matches the Rfam family "Bacterial small subunit ribosomal RNA", at positions 370 to 772 of the family's 1533-position model. The record is from RNAcentral.
AAUGGGGGAAACCCUGAUGCAGCGACGCCGCGUGAGGGAAGACGGUUUUCGGAUUGUAAACCUCUGUCUUCAGGGACGAAACAAAUGACGGUACCUGAGGAGGAAGCCACGGCUAACUACGUGCCAGCAGCCGCGGUAAUACGUAGGUGGCAAGCGUUGUCCGGAAUUACUGGGUGUAAAGGGAGCGUAGGCGGGAAUGCAAGUUGAAUGUUUAAACUAUCGGCUCAACUGAUAAUCGCGUUCAAAACUGCAUUUCUUGAGUGGAGUAGAGGCAGGCGGAAUUCCUAGUGUAGCGGUGAAAUGCGUAGAUAUUAGGAGGAACACCAGUGGCGAAGGCGGCCUGCUGGGCUCUAACUGACGCUGAGGCUCGAAAGCGUGGGUAGCAAA